GACGAACGCUGGCGGCGUGCUUAACACAUGCAAGUCGAACGAAGAGCGAUGGAAGCUUGCUUCUAUCAAUCUUAGUGGCGAACGGGUGAGUAACGCGUAAUCAACCUGCCCUUCAGAGGGGGACAACAGUUGGAAACGACUGCUAAUACCGCAUACGAUCCAAUCUCGGCAUCGAGGAUGGAUGAAAGGUGGCCUCUAUUUAUAAGCUAUCACUGAAGGAGGGGAUUGCGUCUGAUUAGCUAGUUGGAGGGGUAACGGCCCACCAAGGCGAUGAUCAGUAGCCGGUCUGAGAGGAUGAACGGCCACAUUGGGACUGAGACACGGCCCAGACUCCUACGGGAGGCAGCAGUGGGGAAUCUUCCGCAAUGGACGAAAGUCUGACGGAGCAACGCCCGCGUGAGUGAUGACGGCCCUUUCGGGGUUGUAAAAGCUCUGUUAAAUUCGG
RNAcentral lists this ribosomal RNA (445 nucleotides) under Veillonella atypica. RNAcentral's name for it is "bacterial SSU rRNA". It matches the Rfam family "Bacterial small subunit ribosomal RNA", at positions 28 to 445 of the family's 1533-position model. Lineage: Bacteria; Bacillati; Bacillota; Negativicutes; Veillonellales; Veillonellaceae. The record is from RNAcentral.